Molecule: ribosomal RNA, 538 nt
Filed under: Hylomyscus walterverheyeni
Lineage: Eukaryota; Metazoa; Chordata; Mammalia; Rodentia; Muridae
Description: partial 16S ribosomal RNA
Rfam family: Bacterial large subunit ribosomal RNA
Source: RNAcentral
UUAGAGGCACUGCCUGCCCAGUGACUAUAGUUUAACGGCCGCGGUAUCCUGACCGUGCAAAGGUAGCAUAAUCAUUUGUUCCUUAAUUAGGGACUAGUAUGAACGGCUAGACGAGGGAUCAACUGUCUCUUAUUUUUAAUCAGUGAAAUUGACCUUCCAGUGAAGAGGCUGGAAUACAAUAAUAAGACGAGAAGACCCUAUGGAGCUUAAAUUAACAAGCUUAAUUAUUACACUACUAUACCCUAAUGGCACAAAACAAAAAAUAUAAGCUUAAAAUUUUGGUUGGGGUGACCUCGGAGAAUAAAAAAUCCUCCGAAAGAUAUAUAACAUAGACCUACAAGUCAAAGUAACCCAAUUAUCCAAUUGACCCAAAAAAUUGAUCAACGGACCAAGUUACCCUAGGGAUAACAGCGCAAUCCUAUUUAAGAGUUCAUAUCGACAAUAGGGUUUACGACCUCGAUGUUGGAUCAGGACAUCCCAAUGGUGCAGAAGCUAUUAAUGGUUCGUUUGUUCAACGAUUAAAGUCCUACGUGAUCUA